RNAcentral lists this long non-coding RNA (370 nucleotides) under Helianthus annuus (common sunflower). Its description in RNAcentral is "hypothetical non coding rna". The record is from RNAcentral. Lineage: Eukaryota; Viridiplantae; Streptophyta; Magnoliopsida; Asterales; Asteraceae.
UGAUACUCCUAACCAAAUCCAUAACGCUAUGCCAAAUCAGUUCCGAAAUCAACCGUUGCAGAGGCAAAGUCUGAAAUCUACAGUAGAUUCAACAAAAUCAAAUAUGCUUCACUAAACAAUCUCGACUUUUCUAGGCAAACAAUAACACAAAGUACUUGAACAAAUUCAGAAAAUUAGCAUGUCCUCAAAAUUCAAACUGGUGGUCGUUUAAGGAAUUCAUAAAAGUUAGUGAUAAGAGGUGACUGAAUAGAACAAACUAAAAAUAAAAACGUACCUGAACCAAAUAGGUGAACAGAUAACCGUACACUAAAUCGUCAAAUAGGUAAACUGUCUAUGCCAUGUGAAGCAACUCAAAAGACGGUUCCAUACC